GCAUUAUCACGAGAGUUAGUUUCGUAUAUUCUACACGAUUCACAAUCAAAAAGGAGCCAGACGAUGUCUAACCCUUACCAAAUUUCUUGUGAAUCAGCUUGGGAAACCCAAAAUAGAGGCACAGUGAAGAGCAAAGUAUUCACAGAUAGGCAAGAGCCUUUGAGUUGGGCGAACAUUUUGCAUUUCAUUUUAGUGACUUCAUUUCAUGUAUCCGGAAACAUUCCAAGUUGGAAUCUUAGUGGAAUUUAAUUUUCUCCUCGCCACGCUGAGCGAAAAACCGCCUCAGGAAGAGAAACUCGUUGGUGUCAUUCCUUCCCUUGGCGUUUCGCCUUUCUGCAAGGGCGUCGUUAAGAUAUUCAUAAUUUGCCUCUCAAAUUUAAAUGUUCCACUCGGUCGGACGAAACGGUCCAUGUCCUAAGAAGGCCAUUCCAUAUACCACCACAAAAAGACAAGCAAGAUAACUUUGCCAGGACCAAUGACGACCGGGCGAGGCUACGUAAGUGACCGCCAUUAGAUGCGAGCCUUACCUCAAGGUGGUUGCUGGUUUGGUGGAACAUUUAUCAUGGGCUGCCUGUUCUUCCUUUGAUGAUGUUGUGUUAACGUGCUUGGCACAUUCACUCUUCACGAUCUGAUUAGAUCUGUGGUUCUAAUUUUGAUAUUUGCUCGUGGAGUUUAGUCAACGGUUGCUCGUGAGUAGCACAUCAACACCCAGAUUGUCUGUCUGACAAGACAGACAAGAAAGAGGAGGGCCACGUUUUGAGAGGGAAGGGGCCCAGUUUUAUCGGAUUUCAUGCUAAUAAGCUGUUCAAGGCGACCUUCCGACGAGCUUCUUGAAGGAUGACAGGGAAGAUCGCUUCGAGAAGAAUUCAUUUUGAUACACAUUUUGACCCAGGAGAAGAAACGGUUCCCCUUUUCGGUACACAUGUACAGUACUGUACACUGACUGACAUAAAGGUAGUCAGGAGAGGGAGCAUUAAUUUUUCCUUGGAACAAGCCAGUCGAGUCCAUCAUGUCCGUUAAAAAGAUGUUAUAACCUAUUGCAAACAUGUCAAAGACAGAAAAGGGCCAGCGUC
Molecule: long non-coding RNA, 1073 nt
Organism: Tigriopus californicus
Lineage: Eukaryota; Metazoa; Arthropoda; Copepoda; Harpacticoida; Harpacticidae
Exons: 2
Source: RefSeq, a predicted model, not a curated record